GGGGACGCGCGGCCGAUCGCGCGAGUCCAGGCAGCCCUGGUCACGUCGGGUCUGCUUCGGCGUAGCAUGAAGCUCCACGACGCGCUCAUCCGGGCGCUCGCGAGCUCCGGAUGGCCGCACGCCGCGCUCCCGCUCUAUGCGCACCUCCUCCGCGCGGGCCUCCUCACCACCCCGCACACCCUCCCCUCUCUCCUCAAGUCUCUCGGCCUCUCCCCCGCCGUCCCCGGCGCGCGUCGCCUCGCGCUCGCCGUUCAUGCCCACGCCGUCAAGCUCGGCCUCACGGGGUUCCUCCUCGUGAACAAGGCGCUCGUCCGCGUCCAUGCGGGUCUGCUUGGUCGUCUAUCUGACGUGCACCUUCCGCUGCGUACCUCGGCCACCGUGGACGUCUCUACGUUCAACACGCUCAUCACGGCGCACGCGAGGGUUGGGCGAGUCGCGGGCGCUCGCUCGCUGUUCGAUGAAAUGCUUGCCAGGAAUGCUGUGUCUUGGAGCGCCAUGGUGAAUGGCUACGUGCAGGCUGGAGACGGGAUGGAGGCGCUGGGGGUAUUCUCUCAGAUGCAGGCCAAAGGUGUCCUCCCAGACGACAUGGUCCUUGUCUGGAUGCUUGCUGCGUGUGCGCGGCUGGGGGCUCUGGAGCAGGGGAAUUGGUUACAUUACAUGGUUUCUGGGCACUGCAUUGGUUUAUAG
RNAcentral lists this ribosomal RNA (687 nucleotides) under Triticum aestivum (bread wheat). Its description in RNAcentral is "partial small subunit ribosomal RNA". Lineage: Eukaryota; Viridiplantae; Streptophyta; Magnoliopsida; Poales; Poaceae. The record is from RNAcentral.